GCGAGAGUGGCCUAAUUGGUAACGGCAAGGGAUUUAAGCUCCCUGAACUACCGGUUCGAGUCCGGUCUCUCGCACCA
This 77-nucleotide transfer RNA is filed under the name Massilia polaris. Its description in RNAcentral is "tRNA-Leu". It matches the Rfam family "tRNA". Rfam says of the family: Transfer RNA (tRNA) molecules are approximately 80 nucleotides in length. Their secondary structure includes four short double-helical elements and three loops (D, anti-codon, and T loops). The record is from RNAcentral. Lineage: Bacteria; Pseudomonadati; Pseudomonadota; Betaproteobacteria; Burkholderiales; Oxalobacteraceae.